Molecule: long non-coding RNA, 1357 nt
Organism: Nerophis ophidion (straightnose pipefish)
Lineage: Eukaryota; Metazoa; Chordata; Actinopteri; Syngnathiformes; Syngnathidae
Exons: 4
Source: RefSeq, a predicted model, not a curated record
ACCUGGCGCACCUGUCAGCCGCUGCAUGGAAGGAUCCUCACUUUUGGACUAUUUUCGUGGACUUCACUGGCCUGUGGAGAACUUGGACACCUGACAGUCUUGCCAGGAGGACUUUUAGUUGGACGCACAGACGCAAUACUAAGAAAGCAGAAGUACACGGACAGUGGGCGUGACACGCUAACAGCCAAUCAGGGAGCGUAGUCAGCCCAAUGUGGUGUGUACAUGAUGCAAGGUCAUACUAAUUCUGGAGCGACACAAAACACUGCUACAGUUUUCAGCCCUACUUGAAAUACAAAAAAAGGCGUGGUCUUGUAUCGGGUGUGGCGUUACAGAGCGGUGCCAUACCUGGAUGGGGAAGAUCCCGGGCAGAAUGGGACAGGUGAUCCCCAGCGCCCGACAGUCGUCGAGGAAUUUCAGAUAAGUUUCGGCCCGGAAGAAAAGUUGCGUGAUGACAAAGUUGGCUCCUGCGUCCACCUUCUCCUUCAGGUGUUGCAGAUCCUCCUGGUAGCUCCCCGCCUCAGGGUGUCCAGUGGGGUAGCCUGAACCACACACACACACACACACACACACUUUGAAAUCCACAACUUCACCAUUGUACUGCUCGGUGACCACACCUGCCACGCAGAUGUCAAAGUAGUCGUCAAACUGGGAGCGGAUGUGUUUGACCAGGUCUAUGGCGUAGUUGAAGCAUCCUUCCUCCUCCUCCCAGUCCGUGCCCACAGGGUCUGGCGGUGGAUGACAAGCGCUCAAUAACCACCCCGGCGGAUGUGCGGCCAUCACAGUACCUCCUCUCAGCGCCAUGAUGUUUUUCAGGCCCAGGUGCUUGGCCUUGGCCAGGUAGCCGGAGAUCUUCUGGCUGGUCUGGUUGCAGCAGGUGAGGUGCAGGAUGCUCUCCAGGCCGCAGUAGUUGACCGCCGUGCUGGCGAUCAUCAUGGAGGACGUUUCCUUGUCCGAACCCGGGUCUCCCGCCGGAUGCCAGGUAAUGUCGAUGAAGAGCGGCCCCCCGGAGCCCAUACGGUCAAACCUGGAGACACAGAAACCCGACUUGGACUUUUAGGACCGAACUCACGGACGCAGACCAUCAGUUCUAGUAAAGUGUGGAGGGAAAAGGGUUGUACGGUAUACCCGACACUAGUAUAGUAUCGUGGUACUAAUGAAUCAAAAACCAUACUGUACCGCUUCCCAAGGGACAUGAUGACAUUGCUGCUUUUAGGAGCAGAGGAGCAUGUUGGGCAGCGCACACACACAGAGUACUUACAAGCAGACACAGUGUGUAGCCAGAAAAGGGAGAAUGGACGCAUUUUGGUGUAAAAAAUAAGAUAAAAGGUAAAACAAAUAAAAUGUAAUAAAAUGCAAA